UUUCUUUGUACUACAAAAUAUAUUU
This 25-nucleotide non-coding RNA is filed under the name Rattus norvegicus (Norway rat). Lineage: Eukaryota; Metazoa; Chordata; Mammalia; Rodentia; Muridae. The record is from RNAcentral.